AUGGAUGAUGCAAAUUUUAUUCUAUUUGUUAUUGGACAAAAUACAAUGAAAUCAAGUGAACCACAUUUUUUUUCUCCAAUGGAGUAAAUAUUAUUAAUAAAAUACAGUGAAAUCAAGUGAACCUCUACAUUGUUUCUGUAAUGACAUCAGUGUUCAACACUAACCUGCAGCCAAAAGCUACAGUUACAGAGUUACAGAAAAGAGCAUAGUUAAUUAUUAGUUAUUAUUAGAUAUUUUUUAAGAAAGUUCAAUGUACUCAGCAGGAUUAAAGUGAAACUGUUGAAUAUACUGUCUAAAAGAACUACAAUUAUCUGGUUCAAAGACUACCCAGUACUUAAGACCACAAACAAUUAGUUCCACCUUCCUUUAGCAAUAAACAAAUAUAAUUAAUAAAAUAAAAUAAGCAUUUUUUUUUUACACAACUUUGUCCACUUCAUAUCCCAAUGUAUAAGAAUGGACGGAUUAAAUACUGUAGUACAAGUGAAACCUUAAAUUGAUUACAAAACUUGAAUACAUAACUUAGAUAACAUUAGUUUUGUGACAAUGACAUGCGGAAAUAUUAAAUCAAUUUGUAUAUAUCUAAAAAUACAUUUUCUUUUCUAAACUUGAUCAAGUUGUGGUUUUUAUGCAAAUUUAGGUAGUAUAAAAAUAUCAAGUUUGCUUUGGUUUUACUUUUCUUAUGUCAGAAUAAUUGACAGUCAAACUGUUUAGAGAUUUUGAAUUUCCUCCCCAUGUGGGAUCCAAGAAGCUUUUUGAAAAUCUAAUGCUCAUCUCAUCAACAAUAUGAUGACACCAACACUCAUCUCAUCAACAAUAU
Non-coding RNA from Biomphalaria pfeifferi, 817 nucleotides. The record is from the annotation of a GenBank genome assembly. Lineage: Eukaryota; Metazoa; Mollusca; Gastropoda; Planorbidae.